UAGCCAUGAUGUGGACAGGAAUUUGUGAGAUCUUUGAACCUUUCUCAGCAUUGGAAGAAGGUCUCUUCCUCUUUCUGAGCAAAGUUCAUGAUCUCCUUCCUUAAAGUGU
Molecule: small nucleolar RNA, 109 nt
Organism: Magnolia sinica
Lineage: Eukaryota; Viridiplantae; Streptophyta; Magnoliopsida; Magnoliales; Magnoliaceae
Source: RefSeq, a predicted model, not a curated record